UACAUGCAAGUCGAGCGCAGGAAACUGACGGAACUCUUCGGAGGGAAGGCAGCGGAAUGAGCGGCGGACGGGUGAGUAACACGUAAGGAACCUGCCUCAAGGAUUGGGAUAACUCCGAGAAAUCGGAGCUAAUACCGGAUAGUUCAUCGGACCGCAUGGUCCGUUGAUGAAAGGCGCUCGGCGUCACCUUGAGAUGGCCUUGCGGUGCAUUAGCUAGUUGGUGGGGUAACGGCCACCAAGGCGACGAUGCAUAGCCGACCUGAGAGGGUGAUCGGCCACACUGGGACUGAGACACGGCCCAGACUCCUACGGGAGGCAGCAGUAGGGAAUCUUCCACAAUGGACGAAAGUCUGAUGGAGCAACGCCGCGUGAGUGAUGAAGGUUUUCGGAUCGUAAAACUCUGUUGUAAGGGAAGAACACGUACGAGAGGGAAUGCUCGUACCUUGACGGUACCUUACGAGAAAGCCACGGCUAACUACGUGCCAGCAGCCGCGGUAAUACGUAGGUGGCAAGCGUUGUCCGGAAUUAUUGGGCGUAAAGCGCGCGCAGGCGGCCUUUUAAGUCUGAUGUGAAAGGAUCUACG
This 583-nucleotide ribosomal RNA is filed under the name Exiguobacterium indicum. RNAcentral's name for it is "bacterial SSU rRNA". It matches the Rfam family "Bacterial small subunit ribosomal RNA", at positions 52 to 608 of the family's 1533-position model. Lineage: Bacteria; Bacillati; Bacillota; Bacilli; Caryophanales. The record is from RNAcentral.